UCUACGGGGUGCAGCAGUCGCGAAAAUUUGCAAUACACGAAAGUGUGACAGGGUCAUCCCGAGUGCCAUCCGCUGAGGAUGGCUUUUACUCAGUCUAGAAAGCUGGGGGAAUAAGGAGAGGGCAAGUCUGGUGUCAGCCGCCGCGGUAAUACCAGCUCUCCGAGUGGUGUGGAUGAUUAUUGGGCCUAAAGCAUCCGUAGCUGGCUGGGCAAGUCCCCUGUUAAAUCCACCGAUUCAAUCGUUGGUGUGCGGGGGAUACUGUUCGGCUAGGGGACGAGAGAGGCCGACGGUAUUUUCGGGGUAGGGGUGAAAUCCUAUAAUCCCGGGAAGACCACCAGUGGCGAAGGCUGUCGGCUAGAACGCGCCCGACGUGAGGAUAAACGCAACCGGAGCGAACCGGAUUAGAUACCCGCGUAGUCCUGAAC
Molecule: ribosomal RNA, 425 nt
Filed under: uncultured archaeon
Lineage: Archaea
Description: bacterial SSU rRNA
Rfam family: Archaeal small subunit ribosomal RNA
Source: RNAcentral